GUUAUAUGGUCAAGUGAAGAAGCGCAUACGGUGGAUGCCUUGGCAGUCAGAGGCGAUGAAAGACGUGGUAGCCUGCGAAAAGCUUCGGGGAGUCGGCAAACAGACUUUGAUCCGGAGAUCUCUGAAUGGGGGAACCCACCUAGGAUAACCUAGGUAUCUUGUACUGAAUCCAUAGGUGCAAGAGGCGAACCAGGGGAACUGAAACAUCUAAGUACCCUGAGGAAAAGAAAUCAACCGAGAUUCCCUUAGUAGUGGCGAGCGAACGGGGAUUAGCCCUUAAGCUUCAUUGAUUUUAGCGGAACGCUCUGGAAAGUGCGGCCAUAGUGGGUGAUAGCCCCGUACGCGAAAGGAUCUUUGAAGUGAAAUCGAGUAGGACGGAGCACGAGAAACUUUGUCUGAACAYGGGGGGACCAUCCUCCAAGGCUAAAUACUACUGACUGACCGAUAGUGAACCAGUACCGUGAGGGAAAGGCGAAAAGAACCCCGGAGAGGGGAGUGAAAUAGAACCUGAAACCGUAUGCGUACAAGCAGUGGGAGCCUACUUGUUAGGUGACUGCGUACCUUUUGUAUAAUGGGUCAGCGACUUAUAUUCAGUGGCAAGCUUAACCGUAUAGGGUAGGCGUAGCGAAAGCGAGUCUUAAUAGGGCGUUUAGUCGCUGGGUAUAGACCCGAAACCGGGCGAUCUAUCCAUGAGCAGGUUGAAGGUUAGGUAACACUGACUGGAGGACCGAACCCACUCCCGUUGAAAAGGUAGGGGAUGACUUGUGGAUCGGAGUGAAAGGCUAAUCAAGCUCGGAGAUAGCUGGUUCUCCUCGAAAGCUAUUUAGGUAGCGCCUCAUGUAUCACUCUGGGGGGUAGAGCACUGUUUCGGCUAGGGGGUCAUCCCGACUUACCAAACCGAUGCAAACUCCGAAUACCCAGAAGUGCCGAGCAUGGGAGACACACGGCGGGUGCUAACGUCCGUCGUGAAAAGGGAAACAACCCAGACCGCCAGCUAAGGUCCCAAAGUUGUGGUUAAGUGGUAAACGAUGUGGGAAGGCUUAGACAGCUAGGAGGUUGGCUUAGAAGCAGCCAYCCUUUAAAGAAAGCGUAAUAGCUCACUAGUCGAGUCGGCCUGCGCGGAAGAUGUAACGGGGCUCAAACCACACACCGAAGCUGCGGGUGUCACGUAAGUGACGCGGUAGAGGAGCGUUCUGUAAGCCUGUGAAGGUGAGUUGAGAAGCUUGCUGGAGGUAUCAGAAGUGCGAAUGCUGACAUGAGUAACGACAAUGGGUGUGAAAAACACCCACGCCGAAAGACCAAGGGUUCCUGCGCAACGUUAAUCGACGCAGGGUUAGUCGGUUCCUAAGGCGAGGCUGAAAAGCGUAGUCGAUGGGAAACAGGUUAAUAUUCCUGUACUUCUGGUUACUGCGAUGGAGGGACGGAGAAGGCUAGGCCAGCUUGGCGUUGGUUGUCCAAGUUUAAGGUGGUAGGCUGAAAUCUUAGGUAAAUCCGGGGUUUCAAGGCCGAGAGCUGAUGACGAGUCGUCUUUUAGAUGACGAAGUGGUUGAUGCCAUGCUUCCAAGAAAAGCUUCUAAGCUUCAGGUAACCAGGAACCGUACCCCAAACCGACACAGGUGGUCGGGUAGAGAAUACCAAGGCGCUUGAGAGAACUCGGGUGAAGGAACUAGGCAAAAUGGCACCGUAACUUCGGGAGAAGGUGCGCCGGCUAGGGUGAAGGAUUUACUCCGUAAGCYCUGGCUGGUCGAAGAUACCAGGCCGCUGCGACUGUUUAUUAAAAACACAGCACUCUGCAAACACGAAAGUGGACGUAUAGGGUGUGACGCCUGCCCGGUGCCGGAAGGUUAAUUGAUGGGGUUAGCGCAAGCGAAGCUCUUGAUCGAAGCCCCGGUAAACGGCGGCCGUAACUAUAACGGUCCUAAGGUAGCGAAAUUCCUUGUCGGGUAAGUUCCGACCUGCACGAAUGGCGUAACGAUGGCGGCGCUGUCUCCACCCGAGACUCAGUGAAAUUGAAAUCGCUGUGAAGAUGCAGUGUAUCCGCGGCUAGACGGAAAGACCCCGUGAACCUUUACUGUAGCUUUGCACUGGACUUUGAGCCUGCUUGUGUAGGAUAGGUGGGAGGCUUUGAAGCGUGGACGCCAGUUCGCGUGGAGCCAUCCUUGAAAUACCACCCUGGCAUGCUUGAGGUUCUAACUCUGGUCCGURAUCCGGAUCGAGGACAGUGUAUGGUGGGCAGUUUGACUGGGGCGGUCUCCUCCUAAAGAGUAACGGAGGAGUACGAAGGUGCGCUCAGACCGGUCGGAAAUCGGUCGYAGAGUAUAAAGGCAAAAGCGCGCUUGACUGCGAGACAGACACGUCGAGCAGGUACGAAAGUAGGUCUUAGUGAUCCGGUGGUUCUGUAUGGAAGGGCCAUCGCUCAACGGAUAAAAGGUACUCCGGGGAUAACAGGCUGAUACCGCCCAAGAGUUCAUAUCGACGGCGGUGUUUGGCACCUCGAUGUCGGCUCAUCACAUCCUGGGGCUGAAGCCGGUCCCAAGGGUAUGGCUGUUCGCCAUUUAAAGUGGUACGCGAGCUGGGUUUAGAACGUCGUGAGACAGUUCGGUCCCUAUCUGCCGUGGACGUUUGAGAUUUGAGAGGGGCUGCUCCUAGUACGAGAGGACCGGAGUGGACGAACCUCUGGUGUUCCGGUUGUCACGCCAGUGGCAUUGCCGGGUAGCUAUGUUCGGAAAAGAUAACCGCUGAAAGCAUCUAAGCGGGAAACUUGCCUCAAGAUGAGAUCUCACUGGGAACUUGAUUCCCCUGAAGGGCCGUCGAAGACUACGACGUUGAUAGGCUGGGUGUGUAAGCGUUGUGAGGCGUUGAGCUAACCAGUACUAAUUGCCCGUGAGGCUUGACCAUAUAACACCCAAACA
RNAcentral lists this ribosomal RNA (2912 nucleotides) under Pseudomonas aeruginosa. RNAcentral's name for it is "23S ribosomal RNA". It matches the Rfam family "Bacterial large subunit ribosomal RNA". The record is from RNAcentral. Lineage: Bacteria; Pseudomonadati; Pseudomonadota; Gammaproteobacteria; Pseudomonadales; Pseudomonadaceae.